UAUGCUUAGCCUUAAACCCAGAUGCAUCCCUACUCUCGCAUCCGCCAGGGUACUACAAGCACAGCUUAAAACCCAAAGGACUUGGCGGUGCCUCAGACCCACCUAGAGGAGCCUGUUCUAGAACCGAUAACCCCCGUUAAACCUCACCACUUCUUGUUUUACCCGCCUAUAUACCGCCGUCGUCAGCUUACCCUGUGAAGGCUCAACAGCAAGCAAAAGGGGCUCACCCAAAAACGUCAGGUCGAGGUGUAGCGCACGAAGUGGGAAGAAAUGGGCUACAUUAUCUGCAACAACAGAAUAUUUACGGACGGCAUUCUGAAAUUAAUGCCCAAAGGUGGAUUUAGUAGUAAAAAACAAAUAGAGAGUCUUUUUGAAUUAGGCUCUGAGGCGC
This 391-nucleotide ribosomal RNA is filed under the name Osteogeneiosus militaris (soldier catfish). Its description in RNAcentral is "partial 12S ribosomal RNA". It matches the Rfam family "Bacterial small subunit ribosomal RNA", at positions 791 to 1382 of the family's 1533-position model. Lineage: Eukaryota; Metazoa; Chordata; Actinopteri; Siluriformes; Ariidae. The record is from RNAcentral.